This 253-nucleotide ribosomal RNA is filed under the name uncultured bacterium. Its description in RNAcentral is "partial 16S ribosomal RNA". It matches the Rfam family "Bacterial small subunit ribosomal RNA", at positions 524 to 776 of the family's 1533-position model. The record is from RNAcentral.
UACGGAGGAUUCGAGCGUUAUCCGGAUUUAUUGGGUUUAAAGGGAGCGUAGGCGGGUUGUUAAGUCAGUUGUGAAAGUUUGCGGCUUAACCGUAAAAUUGCAGUUGAUACUGGCACCCUUGAGUACAGUAGAGGUAGGCGGAAUUCGUGGUGUAGCGGUGAAAUGCUUAGAUAUCACGAAGAACUCCGAUUGCGAAGGCAGCCUGCUGGACUGUAACUGACGCUGAUGCUCGAAAGUGUGGGUAUCAAACAGG